This 460-nucleotide ribosomal RNA is filed under the name uncultured bacterium. Its description in RNAcentral is "partial 16S ribosomal RNA". It matches the Rfam family "Bacterial small subunit ribosomal RNA", at positions 338 to 795 of the family's 1533-position model. The record is from RNAcentral.
CCUACGGGCGGCUGCAGUGAGGAAUAUUGGUCAAUGGACGAGAGUCUGAACCAGCCAAGUAGCGUGAAGGAUGACUGCCCUAUGGGUGGUAAACUUCUUUUAUAAAGAAGUAAAACGAGGCACGUGUGCAUUUUUGCAUGUACUUUAUGAAUAAGGAUCGGCUAACUCCGUGCCAGCAGCCGCGGUAAUACGGAGAGUCCGAGCGUUAUCCGGAUUUAUUGGGUGUAAAGGGAGCGUAGAUGGGUUGGUAAGUCAGUGGUGAAAGUUUGCGGCUCAACCGUAAAAUUGCAAUUGAUACUGGCAGUCUUGAGUACAGUUGAGGUAGGCGGAAUUCGUGGUGUAGCGGUGAAAUGCGUAGAUAUCACGAAGAACCCCGAUUGCGAAGGCAGCUUACUAAACUGUGACUGACAUUGAUGCUCGAAAGUGUGGGUAUCAAACAGGAUUAGAUACCCUUGUAGUC